RNAcentral lists this ribosomal RNA (480 nucleotides) under Bacteroidetes bacterium oral taxon 272. RNAcentral describes it as "bacterial SSU rRNA". It matches the Rfam family "Bacterial small subunit ribosomal RNA", at positions 28 to 492 of the family's 1533-position model. The record is from RNAcentral. Lineage: Bacteria; Pseudomonadati; Bacteroidota.
GAUGAACGCUAGCUACAGGCUUAACACAUGCAAGUCGUGGGGCAUCAUGAUGUAGUAAUACAUUGAUGGCGACCGGCGCACGGGUGAGUAACGCGUAUCCAACCUACCCUCCACUCAAGUAUAGGCUUCCGAAAGGGAGAUUAAUCCUUGAUAUCGUCAUUCUCUCUCCUGUUAGAAUGAUAAAAGGACAUCGUUUCGGUAGAGGAUGGGGAUGCGUUCCAUUAGGUAGUAGGUGGUUUAACAGGCCACCUAGCCGAUGAUGGAUAGGGGUUCUGAGAGGAAUAUCCCCCACACUGGUACUGAGAUACGGACCAGACUCCUACGGGAGGCAGCAGUGAGGAAUAUUGGUCAAUGGGCGCAAGCCUGAACCAGCCAUGUAGCGUGAAGGAUGACAGUUUUUUUGAUUGUAAACUUCUUUUUCUGUGCGAUUAAAAGUGUGGCAUUUAUGCCAUAGGGGCAAGUAUUUUCAGGAAUAAAGCU